GGACGAAUGCUGGCGGCGUGCCUACUCCAUGCAAGUUGAGCGAUGAAGAUUGGUGCUUGCACCAAUUUGAAGAGCAGCGAACGGGUGAGUAACGCGUGGGGAAUCUGCCUUUGAGCGGGGGACAACAUUUGGAAACGAAUGCUAAUACCGCAUAACAACUUUAAACAUAAGUUUUAAGUUUGAAAGAUGCAAUUGCAUCACUCAAAGAUGAUCCCGCGUUGUAUUAGCUAGUUGGUGAGGUAAAGGCUCACCAAGGCGAUGAUACAUAGCCGACCUGAGAGGGUGAUCGGCCACAUUGGGACUGAGACACGGCCCAAACUCCUACGGGAGGCAGCAGUAGGGAAUCUUCGGCAAUGGACGAAAGUCUGACCGAGCAACGCCGCGUGAGUGAAGAAGGUUUUCGGAUCGUAAAACUCUGUUGGUAGAGAAGAACGUUGGUGAGAGUGGAAAGCUCAUCAAGUGACGGUAACUACCCAGAAAGGGACGGCUAACUACGUG
RNAcentral lists this ribosomal RNA (498 nucleotides) under uncultured bacterium. RNAcentral describes it as "partial 16S ribosomal RNA". It matches the Rfam family "Bacterial small subunit ribosomal RNA", at positions 27 to 507 of the family's 1533-position model. The record is from RNAcentral.